AUUUUUGUAUCUCGAGGUUUUGAAAGCCUUAUUGGGAGAAUUUGUUCUCCACUCCUU
Molecule: transfer RNA, 57 nt
Filed under: Smaragdinella calyculata
Lineage: Eukaryota; Metazoa; Mollusca; Gastropoda; Cephalaspidea; Smaragdinellidae
Description: tRNA-Ser
Source: RNAcentral